UGGGGGAUAUUGCACAAUGGGCGAAAGCCUGAUGCAGCGACGCCGCGUGGGGGAUGAAGGCCUUCGGGUUGUAAACUUCUUUUGCUCUGAACAAGGCAUGCCUUUGGGGUGUGUUGAGUGUAGGGGUUGAUUAGCGCCGGCUAACUACGUGCCAGCAGCCGCGGUAAUACGUAGGGCGCGAGCGUUGUCCGGAAUUAUUGGGCGUAAAGGGCUUGUAGGUGGCUGGUGCGUCUGUCGUGAAAGCUCAUGGCUUAACUGUGGGUUUGCGGUGGGUACGGGCUGGCUGGAGUGCAGUAGGGGAGGCUGGAAUUCCUGGUGUAGCGGUGGAAUGCGCAGAUAUCAGGAGGAAUACCGGUGGCGAAGGCGGGUCUCUGGGCUGUUACUGACGCUGAGGAGCGAAAGCGUGGGGAGCGAACAGG
RNAcentral lists this ribosomal RNA (419 nucleotides) under Fusobacteriota bacterium. RNAcentral's name for it is "Fusobacteria bacterium partial 16S ribosomal RNA". It matches the Rfam family "Bacterial small subunit ribosomal RNA", at positions 355 to 776 of the family's 1533-position model. The record is from RNAcentral. Lineage: Bacteria; Fusobacteriati; Fusobacteriota.